GAAGAAGGAAGGCAAGCCAGCUCGAGGCAAAUUUUGAAAGUGGUUCCCACUGGAGCUGAGAAGAGGUUGUGGUUUGGAAGAUAAUGGAAGAAACCCAGACUAGCACAAGAACAGAGAAAUAGAGAUGCACAAUCAUAGUGAGGUCUGCCCUCAUUAAUGAAGAUGCCUCACUAAUUUAAGAUGAAAAUUGAAGCCUGGUAAUAUCCAUCUUGCAGUUACCCAGCCAACAUACGGGAUCUGCCAUCUCUGUUCUAUGUGUACGUUAUCUGGACAGAACAUAAUUGGACACAUUACCCUGCAACUUCGAGUUCCAUCCCCAUCUCCAAUAUUUUCAACAGCUACCGUUGUAUGAUUCCCUUGGACACCAGGGUGUAUGUAGCUUCUGAAGGACAGAUCUGGGAAGGAGGCACACCUGGGUCCAGGAAGGAAAUGAAGAUCCUUUGGAAAAAUCUUCAGAGUCAAGGGUAACUGAAGAUUAGUCUAGGCAAAAAAAAUCUUGGAGUUGUGGAAAACAGCAG
Molecule: long non-coding RNA, 518 nt
Filed under: Heterocephalus glaber (naked mole-rat)
Lineage: Eukaryota; Metazoa; Chordata; Mammalia; Rodentia; Bathyergidae
Description: lncRNA (ENSHGLG00100051176.1)
Source: RNAcentral